GACGAACGCUGGCGGCGUGCUUAACACAUGCAAGUCGAACGAAGAGCGAUGGAAGCUUGCUUCUAUCAAUCUUAGUGGCGAACGGGUGAGUAACGCGUAAUCAACCUGCCCUUCAGAGGGGGACAACAGUUGAAAACGACUGCUAAUACCGCAUACGAUCUAAUCUCGGCAUCGAGGAUAGAUGAAAGGUGGCCUCUACAUGUAAGCUAUCACUGAAGGAGGGGAUUGCGUCUGAUUAGCUAGUUGGAGGGGUAACGGCCCACCAAGGCGAUGAUCAGUAGCCGGUCUGAGAGGAUGAACGGCCACAUUGGGACUGAGACACGGCCCAGACUCCUACGGGAGGCAGCAGUGGGGAAUCUUCCGCAAUGGACGAAAGUCUGACGGAGCAACGCCGCGUGAGCGAUGACGGCCUUCGGGUUGUAAAGCUCUGUUAAUCGGGACGAAAGGCCUUCUUGCGAAUAGUGAGAAGGAUUGACGGUACCGGAAUAGAAAGCCACGGCUAACUACGUG
RNAcentral lists this ribosomal RNA (510 nucleotides) under uncultured bacterium. Its description in RNAcentral is "partial 16S ribosomal RNA". It matches the Rfam family "Bacterial small subunit ribosomal RNA", at positions 28 to 507 of the family's 1533-position model. The record is from RNAcentral.